UAGGGAAUCUUGCACAAUGGGCGAAAGCCUGAUGCAGCAACGCCGCGUGGGGGAAGAAGGCUCUCGGGUCGUAAACCCCUUUCAGCAGGGACGAAACUGACGGUACCUGCAGAAGAAGCGCCGGCCAACUACGUGCCAGCAGCCGCGGUAACACGUAGGGCGCAAGCGUUGUCCGGAUUUAUUGGGCGUAAAGAGCUCGUAGGCGGUUUGGUAAGUCGGGUGUGAAAACUUCGGGCUCAACCCGGAGACGCCACCCGAUACUGCCAUGACUCGAGUCCGGUAGAGGAGUACGGAAUUCCCAGUGUAGCGGUGAAAUGCGCAGAUAUUGGGAGGAACACCAGUAGCGAAGGCGGUACUCUGGGCCGGAACUGACGCUGAGGAGCGAAAGCGUGGGGAGCGAACAGGAUUAGAUACCCCCGUAGUCC
RNAcentral lists this ribosomal RNA (425 nucleotides) under uncultured prokaryote. RNAcentral describes it as "bacterial SSU rRNA". It matches the Rfam family "Bacterial small subunit ribosomal RNA", at positions 355 to 796 of the family's 1533-position model. The record is from RNAcentral.